GAAGCCAAGCUUGCUUGGUGGAUCAGUGGCGAACGGGUGAGUAACACGUGAGCAACCUGCCCUGGACUCUGGGAUAAGCGCUGGAAACGGCGUCUAAUACUGGAUAUGAGCUCUUACCGCAUGGUGGGGGUUGGAAAGAUUUUUUGGUCUGGGAUGGGCUCGCGGCCUAUCAGCUUGUUGGUGAGGUAAUGGCUCACCAAGGCGUCGACGGGUAGCCGGCCUGAGAGGGUGACCGGCCACACUGGGACUGAGACACGGCCCAGACUCCUACGGGAGGCAGCAGUGGGGAAUAUUGCACAAUGGGCGAAAGCCUGAUGCAGCAACGCCGCGUGAGGGAUGACGGCCUUCGGGUUGUAAACCUCUUUUAGCAGGGAAGAAGCGAAAGUGACGGUACCUGCAGAAAAAGCGCCGGCUAACUACGUGCCAGCAGCCGCGGUAAUACGUAGGGCGCAAGCGUUAUCCGGAAUUAUUGGGCGUAAAGAGCUCGUAGGCGGUUUGUCGCGUCUGCUGUGAAAUCCCGAGGCUCAACCUCGGGCCUGCAGUGGGUACGGGCAGACUAGAGUGCGGUAGGGGAGAUUGGAAUUCCUGGUGUAGCGGUGGAAUGCGCAGAUAUCAGGAGGAACACCGAUGGCGAAGGCAGAUCUCUGGGCCGUAACUGACGCUGAGGAGCGAAAGGGUGGGGAGCAAACAGGCUUAGAUACCCUGGUAGUCCACCCCGUAAACGUUGGGAACUAGUUGUGGGGACCAUU
Molecule: ribosomal RNA, 749 nt
Filed under: Microbacterium aurantiacum
Lineage: Bacteria; Bacillati; Actinomycetota; Actinomycetes; Micrococcales; Microbacteriaceae
Description: partial 16S ribosomal RNA
Rfam family: Bacterial small subunit ribosomal RNA
Source: RNAcentral